RNAcentral lists this ribosomal RNA (3886 nucleotides) under Escherichia coli. Its description in RNAcentral is "bacterial LSU rRNA". It matches the Rfam family "Bacterial large subunit ribosomal RNA". The record is from RNAcentral. Lineage: Bacteria; Pseudomonadati; Pseudomonadota; Gammaproteobacteria; Enterobacterales; Enterobacteriaceae.
UUAAGCGACUAAGCGUACACGGUGGAUGCCCUGGCAGUCAGAGGCGAUGAAGGACGUGCUAAUCUGCGAUAAGCGUCGGUAAGGUGAUAUGAACCGUUAUAACCGGCGAUUUCCGAAUGGGGAAACCCAGUGUGUUUCGACACACUAUCAUUAACUGAAUCCAUAGGUUAAUGAGGCGAACCGGGGGAACUGAAACAUCUAAGUACCCCGAGGAAAAGAAAUCAACCGAGAUUCCCCCAGUAGCGGCGAGCGAACGGGGAGCAGCCCAGAGCCUGAAUCAGUAUGUGUGUUAGUGGAAGCGUCUGGAAAGGCGCGCGAUACAGGGUGACAGCCCCGUACACAAAAAUGCACAUGCUGUGAGCUCGAUGAGUAGGGCGGGACACGUGGUAUCCUGUCUGAAUAUGGGGGGACCAUCCUCCAAGGCUAAAUACUCCUGACUGACCGAUAGUGAACCAGUACCGUGAGGGAAAGGCGAAAAGAACCCCGGCGAGGGGAGUGAAAAAGAACCUGAAACCGUGUACGUACAAGCAGUGGGAGCACGCUUAGGCGUGUGACUGCGUACCUUUUGUAUAAUGGGUCAGCGACUUAUAUUCUGUAGCAAGGUUAACCGAAUAGGGGAGCCGAAGGGAAACCGAGUCUUAACUGGGCGUUAAGUUGCAGGGUAUAGACCCGAAACCCGGUGAUCUAGCCAUGGGCAGGUUGAAGGUUGGGUAACACUAACUGGAGGACCGAACCGACUAAUGUUGAAAAAUUAGCGGAUGACUUGUGGCUGGGGGUGAAAGGCCAAUCAAACCGGGAGAUAGCUGGUUCUCCCCGAAAGCUAUUUAGGUAGCGCCUCGUGAAUUCAUCUCCGGGGGUAGAGCACUGUUUCGGCAAGGGGGUCAUCCCGACUUACCAACCCGAUGCAAACUGCGAAUACCGGAGAAUGUUAUCACGGGAGACACACGGCGGGUGCUAACGUCCGUCGUGAAGAGGGAAACAACCCAGACCGCCAGCUAAGGUCCCAAAGUCAUGGUUAAGUGGGAAACGAUGUGGGAAGGCCCAGACAGCCAGGAUGUUGGCUUAGAAGCAGCCAUCAUUUAAAGAAAGCGUAAUAGCUCACUGGUCGAGUCGGCCUGCGCGGAAGAUGUAACGGGGCUAAACCAUGCACCGAAGCUGCGGCAGCGACGCUUAUGCGUUGUUGGGUAGGGGAGCGUUCUGUAAGCCUGCGAAGGUGUGCUGUGAGGCAUGCUGGAGGUAUCAGAAGUGCGAAUGCUGACAUAAGUAACGAUAAAGCGGGUGAAAAGCCCGCUCGCCGGAAGACCAAGGGUUCCUGUCCAACGUUAAUCGGGGCAGGGUGAGUCGACCCCUAAGGCGAGGCCGAAAGGCGUAGUCGAUGGGAAACAGGUUAAUAUUCCUGUACUUGGUGUUACUGCGAAGGGGGGACGGAGAAGGCUAUGUUGGCCGGGCGACGGUUGUCCCGGUUUAAGCGNACGUACAAGCAGUGGGAGCACGCUUAGGCGUGUGACUGCGUACCUUUUGUAUAAUGGGUCAGCGACUUAUAUUCUGUAGCAAGGUUAACCGAAUAGGGGAGCCGAAGGGAAACCGAGUCUUAACUGGGCGUUAAGUUGCAGGGUAUAGACCCGAAACCCGGUGAUCUAGCCAUGGGCAGGUUGAAGGUUGGGUAACACUAACUGGAGGACCGAACCGACUAAUGUUGAAAAAUUAGCGGAUGACUUGUGGCUGGGGGUGAAAGGCCAAUCAAACCGGGAGAUAGCUGGUUCUCCCCGAAAGCUAUUUAGGUAGCGCCUCGUGAAUUCAUCUCCGGGGGUAGAGCACUGUUUCGGCAAGGGGGUCAUCCCGACUUACCAACCCGAUGCAAACUGCGAAUACCGGAGAAUGUUAUCACGGGAGACACACGGCGGGUGCUAACGUCCGUCGUGAAGAGGGAAACAACCCAGACCGCCAGCUAAGGUCCCAAAGUCAUGGUUAAGUGGGAAACGAUGUGGGAAGGCCCAGACAGCCAGGAUGUUGGCUUAGAAGCAGCCAUCAUUUAAAGAAAGCGUAAUAGCUCACUGGUCGAGUCGGCCUGCGCGGAAGAUGUAACGGGGCUAAACCAUGCACCGAAGCUGCGGCAGCGACACUAUGUGUUGUUGGGUAGGGGAGCGUUCUGUAAGCCUGUGAAGGUGUACUGUGAGGUAUGCUGGAGGUAUCAGAAGUGCGAAUGCUGACAUAAGUAACGAUAAAGCGGGUGAAAAGCCCGCUCGCCGGAAGACUAAGGGUUCCUGUCCAACGUUAAUCGGGGCAGGGUGAGUCGACCCCUAAGGCGAGGCCGAAAGGCGUAGUCGAUGGGAAACAGGUUAAUAUUCCUGUACUUGGUGUUACUGCGAAGGGGGGACGGAGAAGGCUAUGUUGGCCGGGCGACGGUUGUCCCGGUUUAAGCGUGUAGGCUGGUUUUCCAGGCAAAUCCGGAAAAUCAAGGCUGAGGCGUGAUGACGAGGCACUACGGUGCUGAAGCAACAAAUGCCCUGCUUCCAGGAAAAGCCUCUAAGCAUCAGGUAACAUCAAAUCGUACCCCAAACCGACACAGGUGGUCAGGUAGAGAAUACCAAGGCGCUUGAGAGAACUCGGGUGAAGGAACUAGGCAAAAUGGUGCCGUAACUUCGGGAGAAGGCACGCUGAUAUGUAGGUGAAGCGACUUGCUCGUGGAGCUGAAAUCAGUCGAAGAUACCAGCUGGCUGCAACUGUUUAUUAAAAACACAGCACUGUGCAAACACGAAAGUGGACGUAUACGGUGUGACGCCUGCCCGGUGCCGGAAGGUUAAUUGAUGGGGUUAGCGCAAGCGAAGCUCUUGAUCGAAGCCCCGGUAAACGGCGGCCGUAACUAUAACGGUCCUAAGGUAGCGAAAUUCCUUGUCGGGUAAGUUCCGACCUGCACGAAUGGCGUAAUGAUGGCCAGGCUGUCUCCACCCGAGACUCAGUGAAAUUGAACUCGCUGUGAAGAUGCAGUGUACCCGCGGCAAGACGGAAAGACCCCGUGAACCUUUACUAUAGCUUGACACUGAACAUUGAGCCUUGAUGUGUAGGAUAGGUGGGAGGCUUUGAAGUGUGGACGCCAGUCUGCAUGGAGCCGACCUUGAAAUACCACCCUUUAAUGUUUGAUGUUCUAACGUUGACCCGUGAUCCGGGUUGCGGACAGUGUCUGGUGGGUAGUUUGACUGGGGCGGUCUCCUCCUAAAGAGUAACGGAGGAGCACGAAGGUUGGCUAAUCCUGGUCGGACAUCAGGAGGUUAGUGCAAUGGCAUAAGCCAGCUUGACUGCGAGCGUGACGGCGCGAGCAGGUGCGAAAGCAGGUCAUAGUGAUCCGGUGGUUCUGAAUGGAAGGGCCAUCGCUCAACGGAUAAAAGGUACUCCGGGGAUAACAGGCUGAUACCGCCCAAGAGUUCAUAUCGACGGCGGUGUUUGGCACCUCGAUGUCGGCUCAUCACAUCCUGGGGCUGAAGUAGGUCCCAAGGGUAUGGCUGUUCGCCAUUUAAAGUGGUACGCGAGCUGGGUUUAGAACGUCGUGAGACAGUUCGGUCCCUAUCUGCCGUGGGCGCUGGAGAACUGAGGGGGGCUGCUCCUAGUACGAGAGGACCGGAGUGGACGCAUCACUGGUGUUCGGGUUGUCAUGCCAAUGGCACUGCCCGGUAGCUAAAUGCGGAAGAGAUAAGUGCUGAAAGCAUCUAAGCACGAAACUUGCCCCGAGAUGAGUUCUCCCUGACNNNNNNNNNNNNNNNNNNNNNNNNNNNNNNNNNNNNNNNNNGUCCUGAAGGAACGUUGAAGACGACGACGUUGAUAGGCCGGGUGUGUAAGCGCAGCGAUGCGUUGAGCUAACCGGUACUAAUGAACCGUGAGGCUUAACCUU